GUGCUUGCUUCGGCAGCACAUAUAAUAAAAUUGGAACGACAUACAGAAGAUUAGCGUGGCCCCUGCGCAAGGAUGACAUGCUAACUCAUGAAGCAUUCCGUAUUUUU
This is a small nuclear RNA of Loxodonta africana (African savanna elephant), 107 nucleotides long. Lineage: Eukaryota; Metazoa; Chordata; Mammalia; Proboscidea; Elephantidae. The record is from Ensembl.